RNAcentral lists this ribosomal RNA (460 nucleotides) under uncultured bacterium. Its description in RNAcentral is "partial 16S ribosomal RNA". It matches the Rfam family "Bacterial small subunit ribosomal RNA", at positions 338 to 795 of the family's 1533-position model. The record is from RNAcentral.
CCUACGGGAGGCAGCAGUGAGGAAUAUUGGUCAAUGGACGCAAGUCUGAACCAGCCAUGCCGCGUGCAGGAAGACGGCUCUAUGAGUUGUAAACUGCUUUUGUACGGGGGUAAACGCAGAUACGCGUAUCUGUCUGAAAGUAUCGUACGAAUAAGGAUCAGCUCACUCCGUGCAAGCAGCCGCGGUAAUCCGGAGGAUUCAAGCGUGAUCCGGAUUUAUUGGGUUUAAAGGGUGCGUAGGCGGUCGGAUAAGGUAGAGGUGAAAUUCCGAGGCUCAACUUCGGAAUUGCCUCUGAUACUGUUCGGCAAGAGAGUAGUAGCGGUAGGCGGAAUGUAUGGUGUAGAGGGGAAAUGCUUAGAGAUCAUACAGAACACCGAUUGCGAAGGCAGCUUACCAAGCUACUUCUGACGUUGAGGCACGAAAGCGUGGGGAGCAAACAGGAUUAGAUACCCCUGUAGUC